GACGAACGCUGGCGGCGUGCUUAACACAUGCAAGUCGAACGGAAAGGCCCUGCUUUUGUGGGGUGCUCGAGUGGCGAACGGGUGAGUAACACGUGAGUAACCUGCCCUUGACUUUGGGAUAACUUCAGGAAACUGGGGCUAAUACCGGAUAGGAGCUCCUGCUGCAUGGUGGGGGUUGGAAAGUUUCGGCGGUUGGGGAUGGACUCGCGGCUUAUCAGCUUGUUGGUGGGGUAGUGGCUUACCAAGGCUUUGACGGGUAGCCGGCCUGAGAGGGUGACCGGGCACAUUGGGACUGAGAGACGGACCAGAAUGCUACGGGCGGCAGCGGUGGGGAAUAUUGCACAGUGGGCCGAAGCCUGAUGCAGCGACGCCGCGUGCGGGAUGACGGCCUUUGGGUUGUAAACAGCUUUCGCCUGUGACGAAGCGUGAGUGACGGUAAUGGGUAAAGAAGCACCGGCUAACUACGUG
This 468-nucleotide ribosomal RNA is filed under the name uncultured bacterium. RNAcentral describes it as "partial 16S ribosomal RNA". It matches the Rfam family "Bacterial small subunit ribosomal RNA", at positions 28 to 507 of the family's 1533-position model. The record is from RNAcentral.